Molecule: long non-coding RNA, 1210 nt
Filed under: Lathyrus oleraceus (garden pea)
Lineage: Eukaryota; Viridiplantae; Streptophyta; Magnoliopsida; Fabales; Fabaceae
Description: Pisum sativum (pea) long non-coding RNA (PSAT_LNC020964)
Source: RNAcentral
AGAAGUAUCAAAUAAAACAAAAUACAACUACUAGUACAACAAUCCCAACCACCAAGAAGAAAAUACAAACAGAAAAAGCAUCAACCAUAGAAACACACAAAAACUAGCUUUAGGAAAAUUUAGAUCUCUUCAAUCUAAGGAUACAUAAAAGAGCAACAAAAUCACAAAAGACGGAAUAAGAACAAAUCCAAUGGAGGUCGAAGACACUCACCCUUCUAUUAACUUAGAAACUGGAUAGGGUUUUUAAGCCCGACUAAGAAAUCACAUGAGUUUUCGACGGACCUACCAAGAUACAUUUUCCAAGUCAAGAAGAUGUUCAUGUCUUCCCCGUUUUUUGGUGUCACCGAAGAUGCAGAAAAAACUAUUGCAAUCAUUUCAUCACGGUUCGUAUUAUCAACCGUGGUGAAAGGUGUUACAUAUUUAUAUAUAAGCGAAAUUAUCUUUCGCUUCUAUACAUAACAACCGCCUCUAUCAAAACAAAACUCUAACAUUUCUUUCACUCGUCUCUCUCAAAACAAAACUCUAACAUCUCUGUCACUCGUCUCUCUCAUAUGAAAACCCCAAACUUAUGCAGCAAACUCGCCUUCUUCGAAGGAUUACCUUUGUUGCAUCAAAUCUUAGCAAAUGCUACCUUACAUAUUCAUCUUCACAAUAGUUUAUGUUUCAAAAUUUGUUUAUGUAUUAUUGUUUAUGUUUCAAUAGCUUGUUUCAUAGUGUUUGAACUUUCUGUUUGUUUUUGACUUGUAGGUAGGGAUGAUGAAUGAAAUAGAUUAACGAGGAUGAAGCUAAAGUGAGUUUUGCAAACUUGUGUGAACUUGAUUUAAUUCUUCUAGUUCUUCAACCGCCCAUUUCUCCACCUCUAAUUUUGUUUGGAAAGUAAAUAAUAUUUUACAAAAUGAACAAGAGGUCAAAGAAGGGGAGGUUGAAAAACUAUGAGAAUUAAACCAAAUUAUAACUGUUAAAGAGCAAAAUGCGGAUAAGAAGUUUAAGAAUUCUUGUUUAGCAUUGAGAGUGUAACUUGUUCUUCUAAUAUAACUUAAUUUUUCAUAUUAUAGUAUUCUAGACUAUAUUGAAAGGUUAUAUGUUUAGUGAGCAUUGACGAAAUAAGUAUUCCAUAUAAUUUAUGAUAAACUCGGUGUAUAUAUCACAACGGUUGUUUAUAACAACCAUCUUUAAAUGUUAUGCAUUAAAGAAUAUCAAAAUGUUUGUU